RNAcentral lists this ribosomal RNA (444 nucleotides) under uncultured bacterium. Its description in RNAcentral is "partial 16S ribosomal RNA". It matches the Rfam family "Bacterial small subunit ribosomal RNA", at positions 354 to 796 of the family's 1533-position model. The record is from RNAcentral.
GUAGGGAAUUUUCGGCAAUGGGCGCAAGCCUGACCGAGCAACGCCGCGUGAGUGAUGAAGGUCUUCGGAUCGUAAAGCUCUGUUGUAAGGGAAGAACGUCUCUGUAAGAAACAGGGAGUGACGGUACCUUACCAGAAAGCCACGGCUAACUACGUGCCAGCAGCCGCGGUAAUACGUAGGUGGCAAGCGUUAUCCGGAAUUAUUGGGCGUAAAGGGUGCGUAGGCGGCUUGUUAAGUUUAUGGUGAAAGCGUGGGGCUUAACCCCAUUAAGCCAUAGAUACUGGCAGGCUAGAGUGUAGAAGAGGGCAGUGGAAUUCCAUGUGUAGCGGUAAAAUGCGUAGAUAUAUGGAGGAACACCAGUGGCGAAGGCGGCUGCCUAGUCUACAACUGACGCUGAGGCACGAAAGCGUGGGGAGCAAAUAGGAUUAGAAACCCGGGUAGUCC